AUGGGGCUAGGACCUCAGUCUUUUCACCUGGGAAGCUGCCCUGCCCACAACCAGGCCUGGAGUUGCGUGGGGGUGGCCAAUCUGGUAGCAGGAGGGCUCCAUGCACCUGGUGGGGGGUGGACGGGUGGCACGGGAGCUGGAAGCAUUUGGGGUGUGAAGGCACCUUUGGUGCUCCUUGGCCCUCAGGUCAGGGGGAAGGGCUGCAGCCAUCCAUUUGACAAGGAGCUUGCACCCUGCCCGCAGGAAAUGAACCAGGACCCGAGGUUGAGGGUUCUGGGUUCAAGUUUCAGCUAUGCUGCUGAUUCCUGUCCAGUUUGGUGCCUUAGUCUCCACAAGCAGUGGAGCCGGUCCACCCUUUUAUGUGGGUCCCUUGGAGAAGGUCUGGGGAGGGGGGUCGGCCAUCAGAGGGGCUGUGCUCCGGGCCUGCAGCCUGAGGACUCACCACCAGGACCCACUGUCAGGCCUCAGCCCUGGACCCAAACGGGCGCCCUGGGCCGCGAGGGGAGCCAAGACCUCGAGGCAAUACCACAGGGGCCACCAGGUGGCGCCAGCGCAGCGCUCCUCUGGGUGGGAGUGGCCGGCGGCUGUCCUGACUCGGUUUCUCAGCCCCUCCCCUGGUGGGUCGCUGGGCAGGUGCCCGCGGGGUCAGGCCGGAGGGAGUGGCAGCAGCAGGAGCAGGACCCGGCCUCCCGUGACCCCCGCAGGGGUGCAGUCCCGUCUCCCCACGGCCCCGGCCCACGCGGCCCCCCUGCACUGCCCUGGCUCUUGUCUUCAGCUGUGGGCAGGGCUGGAGCGCUGAGCUCUGCAUCUUCAAGGACACGGGAGGUGCCCACCCCCAGCCUCGCUUCUGCACUGACGGACACGUCCCGCAGCUCAGCCGCCCACACAGUGGUGGUCAUCUCUGGCCACCCACGGGGACAGCAGCCGGGACAGCCCACAAAGCCUCCGCUUCCCUCCACUGGCGCUGGCUUGGACGGAGACGGCCCUGCGCCGACCGCGGCCGCUCUGGGGCCAGCGCCCAGCUCCUGGCCUGGAUGGUGGGCAGCACCGCCCCAGCCGCUGCCCAGGACCGCGCACCACCCUCCCCUGCCCUUGAAAUGA
This 1101-nucleotide long non-coding RNA is filed under the name Canis lupus familiaris (dog). RNAcentral describes it as "lncRNA (ENSCAFG00000046136.2)". Lineage: Eukaryota; Metazoa; Chordata; Mammalia; Carnivora; Canidae. The record is from RNAcentral.